UACGGGGGGUGCAAGCGUUAUCCGGAUUCACUGGGUUUAAAGGGUGCGUAGGCGGCCUGACAAGUCACUGGUGAAAGCCCAUAGCUCAACUAUGGAAUUGCCAAUGAAACUGUCAGGCUUGAAUCUGGUUGAAGUGGCUGGAAUAUAUCAUGUAGCGGUGAAAUGCUUAGAUAUGAUGUAGAACACCAAUUGCGAAGGCAGGUCACUAAGCCAUCAUUGACGCUGAGGCACGAAAGCGUGGGUAGCGAACAGG
RNAcentral lists this ribosomal RNA (253 nucleotides) under uncultured bacterium. RNAcentral's name for it is "partial 16S ribosomal RNA". It matches the Rfam family "Bacterial small subunit ribosomal RNA", at positions 524 to 776 of the family's 1533-position model. The record is from RNAcentral.